UUUGUUACUUCAAACCAAUCGGACUUCGGUCUGACAUCAAGUGAUAUUGAGCAAUUUAGCUGAUCGCACGGUCUAAGAACCGGCGACAUAUCCUUCAAAUGUCUGCCUUAUCAACUUUCGAUGGUAGAUUAUGCGCCUACCAUGGUUGUAACGGGUAACGGAGAAUCAGGGUUUGAUUCCGGAGAGGGAGCCUGAGAAACGGCUACCACAUCCAAGGAAGGCAGCAGGCACGCAAAUUACCCACUCCCGGCACGGGGAGGUAGUGACGAAAAAUAACAAGCUGGUCUCAAUGAGUUCCAGCAUUGUAAUGGGAACAAUUUAAAUCUUUUAUCGAGGACCUAUUGGAGGGCAAGUCUGGUGCCAGCAGCCGCGGUAAUUCCAGCUCCAAUAGCGUAUAUUAAAGUUGUUGCGGUUAAAAAGCUCGUAGUUGGAUCUAGGAUUAGGGCUACGGUCGUUCAGCUUGGACGUACUGUAUGCCCGACUCCUUUUCUCUAGUAUUCGAUUGUUGCUCUUAAAUGAGUGACUUUAGUUGCUGGAACUUUUACCUUGAAAAAAUUGAAGUGCUCAAAGCAGGUU
RNAcentral lists this ribosomal RNA (576 nucleotides) under uncultured eukaryote. Its description in RNAcentral is "SSU rRNA". It matches the Rfam family "Eukaryotic small subunit ribosomal RNA", at positions 203 to 786 of the family's 1831-position model. The record is from RNAcentral.